UACGUAGGGUGCGAGCGUUACCCGCUUUUAUUGGGCCUAAAGCGUCCGUAGCCGGUCUGAUAAGUCUCUGGUGAAAUCCCACAGCUUAACUGUGGGAAUUGCUGGAGAUACUAUCAUGACUCGAGGUCGGGAGAGGCUGGAGGUACUCCCAGGGUAGGGGUGAAAUCCUGUAAUCCUGGGAGGACCACCUGUGGCGAAGGCGUCCAGCUGGAACGAACCUGACGGUGAGGGACGAAAGCCAGGGG
Molecule: ribosomal RNA, 245 nt
Filed under: uncultured Methanothermobacter sp.
Lineage: Archaea; Methanobacteriati; Methanobacteriota; Methanobacteria; Methanobacteriales; Methanobacteriaceae
Description: partial 16S ribosomal RNA
Rfam family: Archaeal small subunit ribosomal RNA
Source: RNAcentral